UACGUAGGGUGCAAGCGUUAAUCGGAAUUACUGGGCGUAAAGCGUGCGCAGGCGGUUUUGUAAGUCAGAUGUGAAAUCCCCGGGCUUAACCUGGGAACUGCGUUUGAAACUACAAGGCUAGAGUGUGGCAGAGGGGGGUGGAAUUCCACGUGUAGCAGUGAAAUGCGUAGAGAUGUGGAGGAACACCGGUGGCGAAGGCGACCGCCUGGACGAAGAUUGACGCUGAGGCGCGAGAGCGUGGGGAGCAAACAGG
This 253-nucleotide ribosomal RNA is filed under the name uncultured bacterium. Its description in RNAcentral is "partial 16S ribosomal RNA". It matches the Rfam family "Bacterial small subunit ribosomal RNA", at positions 524 to 776 of the family's 1533-position model. The record is from RNAcentral.